UACGGAGGGUCCAAGCGUUAUCCGGAAUCAUUGGGUUUAAAGGGUCCGUAGGCGGUUUAGUAAGUCAGUGGUGAAAGCCCAUCGCUCAACGGUGGAACGGCCAUUGAUACUGCUAAACUUGAAUUAUUGGGAAGUAACUAGAAUAUGUAGUGUAGCGGUGAAAUGCUUAGAGAUUACAUGGAAUACCAAUUGCGAAGGCAGGUUACUGCCAAUAUAUUGACGCUGAUGGACGAAAGCGUGGGGAGCGAACAGG
This 253-nucleotide ribosomal RNA is filed under the name uncultured bacterium. RNAcentral describes it as "partial 16S ribosomal RNA". It matches the Rfam family "Bacterial small subunit ribosomal RNA", at positions 524 to 776 of the family's 1533-position model. The record is from RNAcentral.